RNAcentral lists this ribosomal RNA (635 nucleotides) under Soehngenia saccharolytica. RNAcentral describes it as "partial 23S ribosomal RNA". It matches the Rfam family "Bacterial large subunit ribosomal RNA", at positions 643 to 1261 of the family's 2925-position model. Lineage: Bacteria; Bacillati; Bacillota; Tissierellia; Tissierellales; Tissierellaceae. The record is from RNAcentral.
AGGUUAAGUACUAGGAGGUACGGAGCCGCAGGGAAACCGAGUCUUAAUAGGGCGAGAAGUUGUAUAUCAUAGACCCGAAACCGGGUGAUCUAUUCAUGGGCAGAGUGAAGUUUUAGUAAAAUAAAAUGGAGGCUCGAACCCGGUAGCGUUUAAAAGCUAUGGGAUGACCUGUGAAUAGGGGUGAAAAGCCAAUCGAACUCGGAGAUAGCUGGUUCUCCUCGAAAUAGCUUUAGGGCUAGCCUCAAAGGAUAAGUGAGAUGGAGGUAGAGCACUGAAUGGACAAGGGGCUUAUAUAAGUUACCGAAGCCUAUCAAACUCCGAAUGCCAUACUCAUAACUUUGGGAGUCAGACUAUGUGGGAUAAGCUUCAUAGUCAAAAGGGAAACAGCCCAGACCACCAGCUAAGGUCCCAAAAUACGUAUUAAGUGUAAAAGGAUGUGAAGUUACACAGACAACCAGGAUGUUGGCUUAGAAGCAGCCAUACAUUCAAAGAGUGCGUAAUAGCUCACUGGUCGAGUGACUUUGCGCCGAAGAUUUCCGGGGCUUAAAUACGUUACCGAAGCUGUGGGAUACGCGUAUUCAAUCAAGGAUAUGCGAAUCGGUAGAGGAGCAUUGUGUAGUAGGAAGAAGGCAUAC